AUACGGAGGGUGCAAGCGUUACUGGGAAUCACUGGGCGUAAAGCGCGCGCAGGCGGUCUUUUAAGUUGGAUGUGAAAGCCUACGGCUCAACCGUAGAACUGCAUCCAAAACUAUUAGACUAGAGUGUGGGAGAGGAAGAUGGAAUUAGUUGUGUAGGGGUAAAAUCCGUAGAGAUAACUAGGAAUACCAAAAGCGAAGGCAAUCUUCUGGAACACUACUGACGCUGAGGCGCGAAAGCGUGGGGAGCAAACAGGAUUAGAAACCCCAGUAGUCC
Molecule: ribosomal RNA, 274 nt
Filed under: uncultured bacterium
Lineage: Bacteria
Description: partial 16S ribosomal RNA
Rfam family: Bacterial small subunit ribosomal RNA
Source: RNAcentral